This 460-nucleotide ribosomal RNA is filed under the name uncultured bacterium. RNAcentral's name for it is "partial 16S ribosomal RNA". It matches the Rfam family "Bacterial small subunit ribosomal RNA", at positions 338 to 795 of the family's 1533-position model. The record is from RNAcentral.
CCUACGGGUGGCAGCAGUGAGGAAUAUUGGUCAAUGGGCGCGAGCCUGAACCAGCCAAGUAGCGUGAAGGAUGACUGCCCUACGGGUUGUAAACUUCUUUUAUAAAGGAAUAAAGUUAGGCACGUGUGCCUUUUUGUAUGUACUUUAUGAAUAAGGAUCGGCUAACUCCGUGCCAGCAGCCGCGGUAAUACGGAGGAUCCGAGCGUUAUUCGGAUUUAUUGGGUUUAAAGGGAGCGUAGAUGGGUUGUUGAGUCAGUUGUGAAAGUUUGCGGCUCAACCGUAAAAUUGCAAUUGAUACUGGCAGGCUUGAGUACAGUUGAGGUAGGCAGAAUUCGUGGUGUAGCGGUGAAAUGCUUAGAGAUGAGGAAGAACCCCGAUUGCGAAGGCAGCUUACUAAACUGCCACUGACAUUGAUGCGCGAAAGUGUGGAUAGCAAACAGGAUUAGAUACCCCUGUAGUU